AUUAUUAAAAUGCAUCGCAGGUAGUAUGUAGUGGGUGCAUAUGUCGAAUAGGUUUAAAUUGGCUCUUUGCUGAGAAGUGAGGAGAAUUAAUAGCGUGAAGAAUUGAUUUAUUAAUCCAAACGAUUAUCCGAUAAGGCUGUCAUCGUUGAUUUGGUAGGAUAUUUUGGUAAUCAAACCUGAAAUGUUUGAUUAAUUGUUAACAUGUAAAAUAUAUGAGGUGUGAAAUAAAAUUAAAUAAUUCUUUGUGAGCGAUGGGGUAUAAUUUAUAAAGAGGGGGAUAAGUUUAGAAUUUAAUUAAUUAGCUGAUAAGUUGUGUUUAGGCUAAGUGUAUUAAAGGUGUAUAGUUUGUUGCUCGUAAUGUUUGCGUUAGGUUCGUUUAAUCUAGAGAAGCGUAAAUAUUGCGCUUAGUCGUACGUCGAUAACUAGUGUUUUCGUAUGAAAAUAGUACGACACUUCAUCACUAAGUGUUUAAUUCUUGCCGGUGUAGCACUAUUUAGAUCUAUGCUAUUCCUGUCUAUAUGCAUUCAUGUGCAUAAUGCAUUUCAUUCAGGUACGUGAAUUAACCACGUGAUGCGGAGAACCAGAAUUGAGUUGACCACAAGAUGGUGCUGAUGAACGGAAUUGAAGAUGGACAGACGAAACAAGUAUCAGAACAAAGGAUGGUCGUCAAGUGAUCGACGUCUAACAAACACUAACGUACUGUUUAUCCCAGGCAAGCCCCGGUGCAUGCAACCCCUUCCUUGUGUUUUUAAAUAAUUUUUACAUACUUUAAGUCUAGCGAAAAUGUGCAUUAGGUUUAUAGGAGUUGCUUGGAAACCCUUUGAUGCAUUGCCUACCUUGAUAUCCAUACCUUUAUAGAUACUUCUGAUGAAGUAUCAAAAUAUGAUUUACAAAAAAUGCUUAUCCCUGCUUAGACCUUGUAGAUAGAGGUUGUCUUUUGCAUUAAGGCCUAGCUCAGGGGUUAUCUUAAGGAAGGAUGACUUCUACCUGCAAGAAUAUUUUCAUUGGGAGCGUGGUGGGAUCUUACUGCAAAGUUCCCUAUAAUGCUCUUUUCAUCCUAAGGAACUGUUGGGGGCCUUCGUCCUCCGAAGGUCCUCAAAAACAUGAUUUGACAAUGUUUUCCAAGUGGAUUAUGUGAACAGGUACCUUCGGACUCAGAAUUACGAACAUGAAGUGCGGUCAGGACGAAGCCUGAACCAGACGAAGGACGGGCUGAUUACCAAGCUCCACGAAGGAUGGUGCACAGCCGAAGCUGUGCGCAGGGAAGCUUCGUCGCGAUAGCAGAGAGGGGAACCGACUUAAAGAUGAAAAGACUACGUGGACCUUGUCAGAUUUCCAUAAGUCAUUGACAAAUGUAAUGGACAUAAAUGUAAUUUUACGUGGGCUGCGUCCCGCGUCUAUAAAUAGAUGAACAGUACUCCCGUACUGUUCACGCUGACUUGGCAUUUGCUUUUGCGUCACGCUUGUACUUUUUAUCUUCUCUCAGGACCGAAGGUACAUUUGUAAUUUGAAAUCAUUUCUAUUUUUCCAUGUUAAUAAAAUAGAAAUGAUUCUAUGAUGAUGCUUAUA
This 1569-nucleotide long non-coding RNA is filed under the name Zea mays. RNAcentral's name for it is "drought-responsive long non-coding RNA". The record is from RNAcentral. Lineage: Eukaryota; Viridiplantae; Streptophyta; Magnoliopsida; Poales; Poaceae.